This 4257-nucleotide unclassified non-coding RNA is filed under the name Hevea brasiliensis (rubber tree). Lineage: Eukaryota; Viridiplantae; Streptophyta; Magnoliopsida; Malpighiales; Euphorbiaceae. The record is from RNAcentral.
AUUAUUUUUUAGCCAAUGAAAUAAAAUUCAAACAUACCAUUUUAUGGCAAUCUCAUUAUUCCAUGUAUUCAAUGUUAAUAAUCAGUUAACUCCAUUUUCAGAUUCUCAUAAUGGAGGAUCAAACAAUAUUGGUCCAAAAUCAACCUGCUUUGAAAAUUAAGACUGGCAUGGUACAAUUGGUGUUGAAUAAGAUUUUCUGCCUCAGCAAAGGCUUGGAUAAUACUCAGAUGACAUCUUAAAGGCAGAGAGAUCUUUAAUCAACUGCUCAGAAUCUCGCUGUGUUUCAAAUUCUUUCCAGUCGUUGUCGCAACCCCACACCCGAACUACAAGUCUUCGACAUUUGGGAGAUGAUUGUUGCAAAUAUGUUUUGUACCAGUUAAUAACGUCAUUCUUGUGAAUGCUUUUCAGUUCUUCUGCCUCUUUCUGUGAAAAGUUGAACAUAUACCUUUUAUCGAUAAUCUGAUUCCAGAGCCUAUUGGUUUCAUACUGGAGGGAAGGAUCUUUUUCCAGUAGCUUAGCCAUUAACCCACUUCUGUAGUUCUCAAAGGAUGCUUCAUCAAGUCCUUCCUGCAAUAACAACAUAUAUAUUCACAGACAUUUGCUAGGAAGGGGAAAAAUGGCAUUUGAAAGCAAGUUGUUUUCUAAAUUCUACACUUUUUCUUUUGGGUAAGUGGAGGGAAUGAAAAACUUGUAUAGAAAAUAGGUCCUUUGGGAGGAGGGGAGGACUAGUACAAAUCUUUUCUCCUUGUAAAGAGUCAAGGAUGAAAUCAAAUUUUUCCUAUUAAAAUUAAAGCUUCAAAAAUGUGAGAGUAACAAGUUCCUCUUCCUUACUCCCCACCCGCCCUUCUUUUUUUUCCAUGCGCUCACUUUCCUCCCUGUUUUCUUCCCAAACAGAUCUAACAGUGAUGGACUCAACUCACCCAUAAUUUACUGGAUUUAUCAUUAAAUUUCAAUAUAGUUAAAUUAAUUUCAAUUUGUUGCAUAGAAAUCAGUCCAACUUUAAUUUUUAUUUAAAUAGCGUCAUUAUCAUCGUAUUUCAACACAGAUUUGGUCCGAUUUCUGAUAUGGCAGCUAAGAAAAUCCUAUGCCCUACAUUUUAUUUUACAACUAGAUUUAAAAUAAUAAUAAUAAUGAAAAGAAAGAAAGAAAGAAAACAUCAUGUGGUUGCUGCAUCAGACCAACUGAAUAUUUACUGAAAUUUGGCAAUAGUGACCUUACCAAGAUACAAAUCGAAGUUGAUUUAUUUUACAUGAAAAACUGAAUUUAAGCAGCUGCGCUGUAAUUUAGCAAUAAGCACAAGAAAUCCUCAAAAUAUGCAAUUCCUAUGAACAUCAUAACAAAUCAUUUGAAGACAGCAGAUAAUCCUCAUAAAUGGGCAACAGAAACCUUGAUCAAGACUAAUUAGAACAUAUAUUUAGCACAAAAUGGGAAAACCAAAAUCUGUGAAACUAGAAUUAUGUUGAAAGCAAUGCACUUGGAUCUUACCAACAACUCUUCAAGGCCAUUCAUGAAGUUGUCAAUUCUCUCCUGCAAGUAAAUUGGGUUGUAUUUGGAAGAUUGAACACAGAAACAAAAUCCAUAAAUACAGUAUGUUACUCGUGGGCUACAUUCAACAACAUAACCAAGCUGCUCCUUUGUCCUUAGCUGAUUAAAAAGUGGCUCCUCCACAAGUUCAUCAAAGAGAUCUAUUACUGCUUUCAAUUUUAUCAAUGCAGUGCCUUCUUCAGGUUCAAUCUGAAAAUAAAGCUCAACCACAGAGUUUGUUUCCAGUUUAUUUUUUACUCUGACAUCUCUGACUAGAUCAGCGGCGGUUGGAAGACACAUGACAUACUCUUUAUGCCUCAUCUCAAAUGGUAGCGCUUGCACAGAGAAAUUACUUCUAAAUAUUUUUGAUAUGUUGAGUGCUUCUUCCUCCAGCAAAUUUCCAUGGCAAAGUCCCUCAAUAUACAGCUGGGAAAGAAGCUCUGGAAUGAAGAAGUUCAGAUCAGAGAGAGUCAAGUCAUUUAACAAGAACAACUUCUCUUCCACGUCCCAGAAGCUCUGACACAAGACUUGCAGUCGCAGGUAUGAUGAAUGAUUCAAGGGCUUCAUGUUGGUGUUCUUCAAAGUUCUUACCAUAUCUUCCUUGAUAACCAUGAAGCGAUCAUCCCUUGGCGAAAAUGAUUUUGUCACUACCAAAACCUUUGACAAAAGGACCGGAAGCUUAUCAUUGAAACCAUAGACCUUAAGUUCCAACUUGUCACCAUAUAGAGAAACAGAGGUUUCCAAUUUAGCCACACUAGCCUGAUAUAUAAUCUCAUUCAGCUCAUCUUUUAGAAGGUGAAUAAAUAAUUCAGUCAGCAAAGCGUUCUUCAAAUUACUGUAUCCCCCUUUUAGUGUAAUACGGAAAUACGUAUUGGCACGAGGAAGCUUAAACGUGUUAUCCAGCUUGUACCAGAUCUUCAUCAGCGGUUCGUCAAGUAUACAUCUUGGUCUUGCAUUUUCCCAGUCACAAUUGGCUUUACCAGCACGUAUUGAAAAAUCAGAUGGAACAAACUCAUUCUUCGCAGGAAGAUGUAAGCAGGCAUUAAUUUCUGUAGGGUCCUUCCAUAACUCAAAUAGAGAAGAUGGAAUAUCUUUUUCCACAUAUUCUGAUCCAAACCAUGGUUCCCUUUGAACAUCAUCAGACUUCUGAAAAGACUUCGAUACAACGUCAACUCUCAUGUUCUCAGGCCUGAAGAAAUCCAAAACAUACUUUAUGAACUCCGCAUCCCAAACAUCAUAUGCGUAGUCCCCAUAAAUAACAUGCUCGGGAGGAUAAACAAGUAAACCCUCAGCAAGUUCUGCAGCAUAAUCAUCUUGAGGUUGCUCCUCCGCAUAUCUAAAAUCUACAUUUGCAAUAUCUUGGAGUUCCUUGAAAAUCCACUCUUGAGGAGAAUUUUGAUGCAGGAGCUUGAGGUAUUGAUAGACAAAGCCAAUGAUCUCAAAUAUCUUUUCCAAGCCAAAAUCUGUCAGAUGUAUUGACAUGCCAAAUAUGUACGCGAAUGAGGAGCGAUGCAUUCCUUCAUCACCAACACCAGCGGAUAUUGAUGUUACCCAGCCUCUAGCCUUUAGGAAGAAAAGCAAGGACCCUUUUCCUUCAUGUCCCAAUAGAUGAGCCAAGUAAUCUUCAGCUUUCUUCAAGUACCCUUUGCGAAGAGAAGGCAGCGUCCAUGAUAAAUCAAGGAUAUGAACAUCUUUAACUGCCUUUAACCAAUAAAGUUUGCCAACCUUCCAAAUGGGAAGCUCACUUCCUCCAUCUGGAUUUACCAAAGGGCCUUUCUUGACAUUGCUAAAUAAUUCAAGAACCCAACUUUCAAGGAUAUCUACUGACUCUCCCCCUAUAACAGCCAGUUUCAUGGACCCACCACGAUAAUUGUCAUGGUAUAGUCUAAGAAUUUGUUCUCGCAAAUUAACUCCUUUCUGCACCGCAUCAGCAAGGCUUUUCUUAUUCCCCCAAAAGAACCGGUUAAAGGGAUGGCCAGGAUUAGAUGUAUGGCACUGUAGUUGUUGUAGGCGGCAGGAAUCAUUUUGUAAGACCUGAUUAAAUUCCGAGUCCACAGCUAGUACCUCCCGCUCCAUGGCUUCAGCUUUAACCAAAGGUGAAACAAAAAACUGAGAAAACCUUCUCAGGGCUUCCUUAAGGCAAUCCCUCUUAACUUCAAAAUGGUAGCAAGUGUGUUCAGCUUCUGUAUAUGCAUUUGAACACCCUCCAUGCCUGGACAAGUAAUUAUCAUACUCAUUUUCAUCAGGAAAAUCAGUGCUUCCCAUGAAUAGCAUGUGUUCAAGAAAAUGUGCAAGACCCUGAGCAUCAUAAGGAUCAGAGAAACUGCCGGUUGUUACACACAUUGCAGCGGCUGCCUUUUUCUGUGAAGCACCUUUACUCCCUUUGUCUCUAACUUCAGUUUCUUCCUCAUCAUCAGUUUCAUCACUUUCUUCUUCUCCUUCUUCGCUAUCUUCUGCUUCUUCAUCUUCUUCGUCUUCAGAGUUUCCGGAAUGUUCUGGAAGUCCAUCGGGGUAGAUAUCAGGAUCGUGAACCAGAAGAGCACAGAGGCCAUUCGGGAGUUGAAUGUAUCUGUACAAACGCUUAUCGUUCGGCGACUUUUCUACUAUGUCAUCUGCAGUAAAGGUACGGCCGCCGACUGCCAUUGUUUUCAAGUGUAGAGAAAGAUUAUUAGUAAAUUGUACUCUCUCUUCACAGAUUACUCUGUUCGAGUUAUUCUCUAGGUUCGCUGUUUA